ACGCUGAAGCUUGGUGCUUGCACUGGGUGGAUGAGUGGCGAACGGGUGAGUAAUACGUGAGUAACCUGCCCUUGACUCUGGGAUAAGCCUGGGAAACUGGGUCUAAUACUGGAUAUGACCUCCUGUCGCAUGGUGGGGGGUGGAAAGGGUUUGUACUGGUUGUGGAUGGGCUCACGGCCUAUCAGCUUGUUGGUGGGGUAAUGGCCUACCAAGGCGACGACGGGUAGCCGGCCUGAGAGGGUGACCGGCCACACUGGGACUGAGACACGGCCCAGACUCCUACGGGAGGCAGCAGUGGGGAAUAUUGCACAAUGGGCGCAAGCCUGAUGCAGCGACGCCGCGUGAGGGAUGAUGGCCUUCGGGUUGUAAACCUCUUUCAGCACGGAAGAAGCGAAAGUGACGGUACGUGCAGAAGAAGCGCCGGCUAACUACGUGCCAGCAGCCGCGGUAAUACGUAGGGCGCAAGCGUUGUCCGGAAUUAUUGGGCGUAAAGAGCUCGUAGGCGGUUUGUCGCGUCUGCUGUGAAAGCCCGGGGCUUAACCCCGGGUGUGCAGUGGGUACGGGCAGACUUGAGUGCAGUAGGGGAGACUGGAACUCCUGGUGUAGCGGUGAAAUGCGCAGAUAUCAGGAAGAACACCGAUGGCGAAGGCAGGUCUCUGGGCUGUUACUGACGUUGAGGAGCGAAAGCAUGGGGAGCGAACAGGAUUAAAUACCCUGGUAGUCCAUGCCGUAAACGUUGGGCACUAGGUGUGGGGGACAUUCCACGUUUUCCGCGCCGUAGCUAAC
This 786-nucleotide ribosomal RNA is filed under the name uncultured Actinobacteridae bacterium. RNAcentral describes it as "bacterial SSU rRNA". It matches the Rfam family "Bacterial small subunit ribosomal RNA", at positions 66 to 856 of the family's 1533-position model. The record is from RNAcentral. Lineage: Bacteria; Bacillati; Actinomycetota; Actinomycetes.